AGCGUACACGGUGGAUGCCCUGGCAGUCAGAGGCGAUGAAGGACGUGCUAAUCUGCGAUAAGCGUCGGUAAGGUGAUAUGAACCGUUAUAACCGGCGAUUUCCGAAUGGGGAAACCCAGUGUGAUUCGUCACACUAUCAUUAACUGAAUCCAUAGGUUAAUGAGGCGAACCGGGGGAACUGAAACAUCUAAGUACCCCGAGGAAAAGAAAUCAACCGAGAUUCCCCCAGUAGCGGCGAGCGAACGGGGAGGAGCCCAGAGCCUGAAUCAGUGUGUGUGUUAGUGGAAGCGUCUGGAAAGGCGCGCGAUACAGGGUGACAGCCCCGUACACAAAAAUGCACAUGCUGUGAGCUCGAUGAGUAGGGCGGGACACGUGGUAUCCUGUCUGAAUAUGGGGGGACCAUCCUCCAAGGCUAAAUACUCCUGACUGACCGAUAGUGAACCAGUACCGUGAGGGAAAGGCGAAAAGAACCCCGGCGAGGGGAGUGAAAAAGAACCUGAAACCGUGUACGUACAAGCAGUGGGAGCACGCUUAGGCGUGUGACUGCGUACCUUUUGUAUAAUGGGUCAGCGACUUAUAUUCUGUAGCAAGGUUAACCGAAUAGGGGAGCCGAAGGGAAACCGAGUCUUAACUGGGCGUUAAGUUGCAGGGUAUAGACCCGAAACCCGGUGAUCUAGCCAUGGGCAGGUUGAAGGUUGGGUAACACUAACUGGAGGACCGAACCGACUAAUGUUGAAAAAUUAGCGGAUGACUUGUGGCUGGGGGUGAAAGGCCAAUCAAACCGGGAGAUAGCUGGUUCUCCCCGAAAGCUAUUUAGGUAGCGCCUCGUGAAUUCAUCUCCGGGGGUAGAGCACUGUUUCGGCAAGGGGGUCAUCCCGACUUACCAACCCGAUGCAAACUGCGAAUACCGGAGAAUGUUAUCACGGGAGACACACGGCGGGUGCUAACGUCCGUCGUGAAGAGGGAAACAACCCAGACCGCCAGCUAAGGUCCCAAAGUCAUGGUUAAGUGGGAAACGAUGUGGGAAGGCCCAGACAGCCAGGAUGUUGGCUUAGAAGCAGCCAUCAUUUAAAGAAAGCGUAAUAGCUCACUGGUCGAGUCGGCCUGCGCGGAAGAUGUAACGGGGCUAAACCAUGCACCGAAGCUGCGGCAGCGACGCUUAUGCGUUGUUGGGUAGGGGAGCGUUCUGUAAGCCUGUGAAGGUGUGCUGUGAGGCAUGCUGGAGGUAUCAGAAGUGCGAAUGCUGACAUAAGUAACGAUAAAGCGGGUGAAAAGCCCGCUCGCCGGAAGACCAAGGGUUCCUGUCCAACGUUAAUCGGGGCAGGGUGAGUCGACCCCUAAGGCGAGGCCGAAAGGCGUAGUCGAUGGGAAACAGGUUAAUAUUCCUGUACUUGGUGUUACUGCGAAGGGGGGACGGAGAAGGCUAUGUUGGCCGGGCGACGGUUGUCCCGGUUUAAGCGUGUAGGCUGGUUUUCCAGGCAAAUCCGGAAAAUCAAGGCUGAGGCGUGAUGACGAGGCACUACGGUGCUGAAGCAACAAAUGCCCUGCUUCCAGGAAAAGCCUCUAAGCAUCAGGUAACAUCAAAUCGUACCCCAAACCGACACAGGUGGUCAGGUAGAGAAUACCAAGGCGCUUGAGAGAACUCGGGUGAAGGAACUAGGCAAAAUGGUGCCGUAACUUCGGGAGAAGGCACGCUGAUAUGUAGGUGAAGUCCCUCGCGGAUGGAGCUGAAAUCAGUCGAAGAUACCAGCUGGCUGCAACUGUUUAUUAAAAACACAGCACUGUGCAAACACGAAAGUGGACGUAUACGGUGUGACGCCUGCCCGGUGCCGGAAGGUUAAUUGAUGGGGUCAGCGCAAGCGAAGCUCUUGAUCGAAGCCCCGGUAAACGGCGGCCGUAACUAUAACGGUCCUAAGGUAGCGAAAUUCCUUGUCGGGUAAGUUCCGACCUGCACGAAUGGCGUAAUGAUGGCCAGGCUGUCUCCACCCGAGACUCAGUGAAAUUGAACUCGCUGUGAAGAUGCAGUGUACCCGCGGCAAGACGGAAAGACCCCGUGAACCUUUACUAUAGCUUGACACUGAACAUUGAGCCUUGAUGUGUAGGAUAGGUGGGAGGCUUAGAAGUGUGGACGCCAGUCUGCAUGGAGCCGACCUUGAAAUACCACCCUUUAAUGUUUGAUGUUCUAACGUUGACCCGUAAUCCGGGUUGCGGACAGUGUCUGGUGGGUAGUUUGACUGGGGCGGUCUCCUCCUAAAGAGUAACGGAGGAGCACGAAGGUUGGCUAAUCCUGGUCGGACAUCAGGAGGUUAGUGCAAUGGCAUAAGCCAGCUUGACUGCGAGCGUGACGGCGCGAGCAGGUGCGAAAGCAGGUCAUAGUGAUCCGGUGGUUCUGAAUGGAAGGGCCAUCGCUCAACGGAUAAAAGGUACUCCGGGGAUAACAGGCUGAUACCGCCCAAGAGUUCAUAUCGACGGCGGUGUUUGGCACCUCGAUGUCGGCUCAUCACAUCCUGGGGCUGAAGUAGGUCCCAAGGGUAUGGCUGUUCGCCAUUUAAAGUGGUACGCGAGCUGGGUUUAGAACGUCGUGAGACAGUUCGGUCCCUAUCUGCCGUGGGCGCUGGAGAACUGAGGGGGGCUGCUCCUAGUACGAGAGGACCGGAGUGGACGCAUCACUGGUGUUCGGGUUGUCAUGCCAAUGGCACUGCCCGGUAGCUAAAUGCGGAAGAGAUAAGUGCUGAAAGCAUCUAAGCACGAAACUUGCCCCGAGAUGAGUUCUCCCUGACUCCUUGA
Molecule: ribosomal RNA, 2787 nt
Filed under: Escherichia coli
Lineage: Bacteria; Pseudomonadati; Pseudomonadota; Gammaproteobacteria; Enterobacterales; Enterobacteriaceae
Description: bacterial LSU rRNA
Rfam family: Bacterial large subunit ribosomal RNA
Source: RNAcentral